Molecule: unclassified non-coding RNA, 395 nt
Filed under: soil metagenome
Description: partial contains 5.8S ribosomal RNA, internal transcribed spacer 2, and large subunit ribosomal RNA
Rfam family: 5.8S ribosomal RNA (bases 1-121)
Source: RNAcentral
GAUGAAGAACGUAGUAAACGUGCGAAACGUAAUGUGAAUUGCAGAAUUCAGUGAAUCAUCGAAUCUUUGAACGCAUCUUGCGCUCCUUGGUAUUCCGAGGAGCAUGCCUGUUUGAGUGUCGUGAAUACUCUCAACUUCAACCCUUUUUUCGGAAAGGGAGGAAGGUUGGACUUGGGUGUUUGUUGAAGUGCGAGCUUCGACUCAUCCUAAAUGCAUUAGCGAUCUGCCUCGAUCACACACAAUGUGAUAAUUAAAACUAAAGCAUUGUUUAAUGAUCAAGUCGAGACUGCUUCUAACUGUCGCAAGACAAUAACGUGCAUACAUUUGUGCAUGUCAUUUGACCUCAAAUCAGGUAGGACUACCCGCUGAACUUAAGCAUAUCAAUAAGCGGAGGA